Molecule: long non-coding RNA, 1206 nt
Filed under: Felis catus (domestic cat)
Lineage: Eukaryota; Metazoa; Chordata; Mammalia; Carnivora; Felidae
Description: lncRNA (ENSFCAG00000049408.1)
Source: RNAcentral
CCCUAUCUGUCACUUGUUCCGAGAAAGCUGCCCGAGCGGGCUCUGGAAGUGGGAACGAAAACUAACUUUGCUAUUGUUUGUCCGGCCGGCCUCCCCCCUGCCCCUUCUCACCGGCUGGCUUUGCUUUCUGCUCGGCGCUGCAAGCCGCAAGCCCCUCGCCGUCCGACUGCGCAGCCCUGGACUCAGUCUCUCUGCGGUCCCCCUCCCGGCGGCCGUCGGGGAUGGCUGCGGCGGGGCCAGGCCCCGCCCUCCUGGAGGACACGCCCCGGGCACGCCCCCUGCCCUGCUCCCGGGCCCCGCGGGAAUGUAGUCGGCCCCGGGCCAGAUCCGGCUCCGCCCACCAGGCCUCCGGUGCGGCCGCCCAGCCCCGCCCUGCGGGGGGUGGGCCCGUCUCUUGCCCCGCCCCUCCCCGUUACGGCCUCCCUAAUUCAGCCCGGUAGCUCCGCCCCCGGGCCCGCCUCCUCGACCCUGUCCUCUGCGCCCGGAGGAGGCCUGCCUCCCAACCUUGCAAGGCGAGCGCGGGAGCCCGGCUGGUGGGAAGCCCCAACACAGCGCUGCCUAACCGUCCCGCCCCUCCUCGGCCUUCCUCAGCUGUCCCCGCCCCCCCCCCCCCCCCGACCCUACCGCCACCCCGCCUGGGUCACGAUCUCCUCUCGGCCUACCCCAGUCCCCUUGGGCGAGGCGCCCCCUCCCCAGGCACGCCUUUCCCCGCCUCAGCGCCUCCCUAAUCCUGUUCUGCUCUGCCAACCUCAACCUGAGGCGGGCCGGCCUCGGGCCCCCAAGCUGGCAUUCCAGGGCGGGUGCGUCCGGGUGCGACCGGGGACGGCGUGGGAGCGGUUUGCGUUCCAAGUCCGAGCCUUUAUCAGCAGGCGACCUGGGCCCAGGCACUUUUUGAAAAUACUAACAACUACUACCGACUGGACUCUCGCCAGGGGCCGGGCUCUAUGCCAAGCCCUACUAAAAGGACUGGCCCUUAAAUUCUCACAACCCUCUGCGAUGGUAGCUUGUUGCUCCAUUUUACCGACGGACGACCUGAGGUUUAGAGAAAGGAAGUCGUGGCCUCCGAGUCUCACGCUGGAGGUGAGCAGGAUCCGGCUGCAAGCCCUGAAUCACAAGCCUGAUACUGCCCCAGCUUGCCUGGACUGGCCCCUGGAGAAGUGGCCUUGGCCAGCCAGCUGUUGGGGCUGUGUUCAGCAGGCUGCCUGA